CUGCCGAAACAACCGAAAUAUUUCAAUAUUUACAAGUAUAAGCUAUCACAUGAUGUUUAAAUGGCCACCAUUUUUAUUUUUUUCAACAUAAUCAGCAAUAUGGUACCUUACUUCCCAUCCCCCCAUGACACAUAAACUAAAAGCUGGAAUUGCGAUUUUUUGAAAAUCCAACUAAUUAAUAUUUCACUGAUUUCCAAAAAAUUUGGUAUUCACAAUAAUAUUUUUCCCACAUAUUAGAAGUUUUUUCCCAAUGAUAUUUCCUCCCACUAUUUUAAUUUUGUCAUUGUCUGUGCCCAAAAAAUGGAAAGAGAUUGUCCCAAAUUCUGGUGCCCCCCCCCCCCAGCUUGUACGCCAAUGACAGCAAUGAUACAUGGAGUUUCAAUUCCUAACACCAAUGCAUAAUUCCAAUGCAAAUAAGCCAUAUUUAUGAUUACACUUUACAAUAUUGAGGUUGAUUGUAAUGUGUAUUUGACCAUUGUCGCACGUUUUCUGCUUCUGCUUUAUUAUUUUAC
Molecule: non-coding RNA, 512 nt
Organism: Paramuricea clavata
Lineage: Eukaryota; Metazoa; Cnidaria; Anthozoa; Malacalcyonacea; Plexauridae
Source: the annotation of a GenBank genome assembly